GCGCACCCAGAAACCCUUUGUGAACUUAUACCUUACUGUUGCCUCGGCGCAUGCCGGCCCCCCUGGGGGCCCCUCCUUCUGGAGGAGCAGGCACGCCGGCGGCCAACCCAACUCUUGUUUUUACACUGAAACUCUGAGAAUAAAACAUAAAUGAAUCAAAACUUUCAACAACGGAUCUCUUGGUUCUGGCAUCGAUGAAGAACGCAGCGAAAUGCGAUAAGUAAUGUGAAUUGCAGAAUUCAGUGAAUCAUCGAAUCUUUGAACGCACAUUGCGCCCUCUGGUAUUCCGGAGGGCAUGCCUGUUCGAGCGUCAUUUCAACCCUCAAGCCUGGCUUGGUGAUGGGGCACUGCCUGUAAAAGGGCAGGCCCUGAAAUUCAGUGGCGAGCUCGCCAGGACCCCGAGCGCAGUAGUUAAACCCUCGCUCUGGAAGGCCCUGGCGGUGCCCUGCCGUUAAACCCCCAACUUCUGAAAAUUUGACCUCGGAUCAGGUAGGAAUACCCGCUGAACUUAAGCAUA
This 517-nucleotide ribosomal RNA is filed under the name Phomopsis mahothocarpi. Its description in RNAcentral is "eukaryotic LSU rRNA". The stretch from base 160 to 313 matches the Rfam family "5.8S ribosomal RNA". The record is from RNAcentral. Lineage: Eukaryota; Fungi; Ascomycota; Sordariomycetes; Diaporthales; Diaporthaceae.